Molecule: long non-coding RNA, 1114 nt
Filed under: Sinocyclocheilus anshuiensis
Lineage: Eukaryota; Metazoa; Chordata; Actinopteri; Cypriniformes; Cyprinidae
Description: lncRNA (ENSSANG00000014566.1)
Source: RNAcentral
CGAGCGCUCGCAGCGUACACAAAUUCGCUGCCUAGUGGGCGCGUUCUGGUUUGUCGCGUCGCUCGUUUACUGUAUAAUGUAAAUGGAGGAGGAAUUGGAUCUGAAACUCUCACUCCUCUCCCCCGACUCACCGACAAACAACGUGGGACGCUUGAAUUUGUUAUACCACACCACAGAGACUUUUGCACUGAUUUUUAUACAUCGCCGCGUCACAAGUAAAUGUCGCGUUUCGCGGAGCUGGAAAAUAUGUGUAAACUACUGACAGCGGUGAAAAACAUUGCACUGUCAUCCGCGGUUGAGUACUCACAAAUGUCAUGCACUGUUCAAGAGCCUUUGCCUUCUGUGACAUUCAGCGGACUUAAUAACAACCAACAUGAAGCAGACAGAUACAGUCAGAGCGCGUUGCCUAUUCUAAAGGACCUUUAAACUUGUUGAAAUCAUUGUAAACAUGGAAGAGGCAGGCGCUGGGAACGGUACUGGGACGCAGGGCUGUGAACUGGAGCGUUCUGGAGACGGAGGACUGGAUGAGGUGCAGAUGCAUCUCGCCUGCUUACCGGAGCGAUACAUGAGAGCCAAGUUUUCCCUCUCCGCGUACAUAUUUUGUUGGACAGUAGUAAAGUUGUGUCAGCUGUUUGCUAACACUCCUGCCAUGGCAACAAUGGUGACGCCAGAAACACGCCAAGAUUCCAAGAAGUUGUGCCCAUCUACCGACUCACCGCACCUUUGCCUUCCUGUGAUGCAGCAGUUUACCUCACAUGCAGACUGACAAUUAAGAAGCAAAAACAUGCAUGAACAAGUCUGCAUCAACUUCAAAUUCCCCCUCCAGCUCAUCAGGAACUUCAUUUGUCUAGAAGAAUUGCACUUGUUAUUCAGGGCUGUUGGUGCAGGUGUUGUUGGUUUGUGGGUUUGUGAAACAGAUACCCCAUUUUCUCCCUUCUCUUUGUUUCUUUCACAGCAAAGCAGAUUUAUUUAAAUGGAGCAGUGGGAUAAUGCCAGCAAUGCAAACCGAUCUUGAGUCAGAGCUUCCCCUCCACAUGGGAACACGUUGAUAAAGGAUCUGAUUUCACCCUCACCUCCUUUGUUCUGCUUGAAGUCGCUCAGUUCUGGCUGAACU